GGAAGACCCCGGCGCCCGGCUCCACCCACCACACGCAGUGGCGCAUGUCUCCGCGCGUCAGGAGCCCCAGCAGGAACUGGACCUUGGACUGUGCUGACAGUGUGACUCAUGGUGAGGCCUCGGGCCACACGCUAGCAGCCUGACGUCUCUGCAGGGGCUGGAGACUGAGUAACGAAGGUCGGUCACACAGAUGCUCCAUGCCUACGUGACCAGCCCCCAGUAAAAACCCAGGACACUGAGGCUCAGUGAACUUCCCUAGUUGGCAACACUCCAUGCAUGUUGUCACACAUCAACGCCGGGAGAAAUAAACACUGUCUGCAUGACUCCAUUGGUGGAGACAAAUUGGAAGUUCCAUGCCUUUUCCCCUGGCUGAUUUUAAUCUCUAUCCUUUAAUUGUAUUAAGUCAUAA
This is a long non-coding RNA of Herpailurus yagouaroundi (jaguarundi), 409 nucleotides long. RefSeq lists it as uncharacterized. The record is from RefSeq and is a predicted model, not a curated record. The transcript has 2 exons. Lineage: Eukaryota; Metazoa; Chordata; Mammalia; Carnivora; Felidae.